ACGCCCUUCGGGGGAAAGAUUUAUCGGAGAAGGAUCGGCCCGCGUUAGAUUAGGUAGUUGGUGGGGUAAUGGCCUACCAAGCCUACGAUCUAUAGCUGGUUUGAGAGGAUGAUCAGCCACACUGGGACUGAGACACGGCCCAGACUCCUACGGGAGGCAGCAGUGAGGAAUCUUGGACAAUGGGGGCAACCCUGAUCCAGCCAUGCCGCGUGAACGAUGAAGGCCUUAGGGUUGUAAAGUUCUUUCAGCUGGGAAGAUAAUGACGGUACCGGCAGAAGAAGCCCCGGCUAACUCCGUGCCAGC
RNAcentral lists this ribosomal RNA (303 nucleotides) under Rhodovulum sp. JA585. Its description in RNAcentral is "bacterial SSU rRNA". It matches the Rfam family "Bacterial small subunit ribosomal RNA", at positions 189 to 512 of the family's 1533-position model. The record is from RNAcentral. Lineage: Bacteria; Pseudomonadati; Pseudomonadota; Alphaproteobacteria; Rhodobacterales; Paracoccaceae.